Molecule: non-coding RNA, 400 nt
Organism: Pteronotus mesoamericanus
Lineage: Eukaryota; Metazoa; Chordata; Mammalia; Chiroptera; Mormoopidae
Source: the annotation of a RefSeq genome assembly
AAGGAGACAGAACUCUCUCUAGAAGAUGAGACUGCUGGGUCUCUUCCUGUGUCUGCUGAUAGCCCCCCAGGGUGCCCUGUCCCAGGGGCAGCUGCAGGAGUCGGGCCCAGGACAGGUGAAGCCCUCGCAGACCCUCUCCCUCACCUGCACUGUCUCUGGAUUCUCCAUCACAACCAGUGGUGACUGCUGGCACUGGAUCCGCCAGCCCCCAGGGAAGGGGCUGGAGUGGAUCGGGUGCAUAAAUUAUGGUGGAAGCACCUACUAUAGCCCGACUCUCAAGAGCCGCACCUCCAUCUCCAGAGACACGUCCAAAAACCAGUUCUCCCUGCAGCUGAGCUCCAUGAUGGCCGAGGACACAGCUGUGUAUUACUGUGCAAAAGACACAGUGAGGGGAAGUUAG